Equus caballus (horse) is the source of this 1687-nucleotide long non-coding RNA. Lineage: Eukaryota; Metazoa; Chordata; Mammalia; Perissodactyla; Equidae. The record is from Ensembl.
UGAAUGUGAAAGGUAUCCUGUGUUUCAGGCUCUGGGAAAACCCCAGGUGUGACUAGCUGGCUUUAUUAACAAGGUCCGGACAUCCUUGUAUUCUCUCAUCCUUCUGAGGUAAGCCCUGGGCAGAAGCUGGGCACUUCUUCGGCGCUCCCUUCCCUCCUUCAUCUCCCACCUUCACGCCCUAUCUGGAACAACACCUGGUUUUCUCUUUCUUUAUGUCUCAUCACUCUUUCUUCUCCAUCCACACUAUGGUCCUUCUUAUCUGAACCACCGGAACAAGUCACUGCUUUUCUGAAGUUCUUAGCGUAUAACCCGCUGUUCUAUUGAGCUCUAUUCUGUUCUAUCAGGUUCACACCCCAUAGGAGUGAUCCUUGAUUUCUCUUUCUGUCACACUCCAUAUUCAAUCUGGCAGCAAAUCCUGUUGGCUCUGUCUUUAAAAUAUGUCCAAAACAUGACCACUUCUCGUCAUCUCCAUGGCUGUUACCCUGGGCCUAGCCAGCAAUAGCCUCUAUCUCCCUACUGCACCCUUGCUCCUAUGACUCCACUCUCAGCACAGCCUCCACAGCAUCCUAUGAAAACACUAAAUUAGAUCAAGUCACUGCUCUGCUCAAAGUGAGAUUCCUUACAGUGACCUGCAAGGCCCUAGGUGCCCAGCCAGCUACCUGCCUGACUUCACUUCCCAUACUCGCCUUGUCUGCUCCAGCUACAGACCUUCUGACAGGUCCCCCAGUCUGACAGACGGUGGGGACUUGCAGUGACUUUGCACUUGCUGCUCUUUCUGCCUAGAUUACUCUUCCUCCAGAGCCAGUCUCCUGACUUUGUCACCUAACUCGUGUCUGCUCCUCAUGAGCCUUCUCCGGUCAUCCUACCACACUGUGGGAAGCCGCUCACCCUCUGUGUCUUGUUGUACUUACACCUCGGCUCCUACAGCAGCGCAACAUACGCCUGGCCCCGCGGGAGCUCCGGAUUCGCUGCUGACUGAAUGACUGUGAGAACUCCGGACACAGCAUCCGCAAAGACGGAGACCAGACAGCACGCGUUCAUGGCAAAACAAAACCUGCCCCUCCUCCGAAGCUGGGGCGGCAGAAGACUCUGGCCCUUCUUAACGGUCUUAGGCUCCUGCGCGCCGUUCCCAUCUCGGGAAAAGCACCCUCCGGGAUGAGGCCCUCACCUGUCCCUAGGGUGGGCCCCUCUCGCUUCCCCAAGGCCAUUCUGUACGUCUGGCAGCUCUGCCGAGUUAUGUCGAUGAAAGUAAGGUCGGUUUUACAUCGAGCGCUCCCCGUCUUGCCCUCUACUGCUCAAAAUCCUCAACUCCUCAGGCUGCGGUGCUUCGCUCGAGGAGGAAACACGCGGCUGCUCGGUGUGCGGCGAGGGCGACGACACCCCAGGCCUGCAGCGAGUUACUGAGCCCAGGGCAGCAGGAACUCCGUCUCGCCUCUGUCCUCGGCCUCCCUUCACAGGAGGCGCCGGCGGACGGGGGGGACGGGCCCACGGUCGCCACUCGAGCUGGGUUCCCGCUUCCAGACAGAGGCCCCGGCCUCUCGCCGGGCGGCGGCCCCACCUGCGCCCUCGGCGUCGUCGGGGCCGUUCGCCGCCGAGCAUCCCCCGAGGGCCCGCUCAGCGUCCCGGGGCGGCCCGGCGCCCGAGGCCUGAGGAAACCUGUGGGCGAAGGGCUCCGCCCCGCGCUCAC